RNAcentral lists this ribosomal RNA (613 nucleotides) under Schizophyllum commune. Its description in RNAcentral is "partial large subunit ribosomal RNA". It matches the Rfam family "Eukaryotic large subunit ribosomal RNA", at positions 38 to 635 of the family's 3401-position model. Lineage: Eukaryota; Fungi; Basidiomycota; Agaricomycetes; Agaricales; Schizophyllaceae. The record is from RNAcentral.
GCAUAUCAAUAAGCGGAGGAAAAGAAACUAACAAGGAUUCCCCUAGUAACUGCGAGUGAAGCGGGAAAAGCUCAAAUUUAAAAUCUGGCGGUCUCCGGCCGUCCGAGUUGUAAUUUAGAGAAGCGUUAUCCGUGCUGGACCGUGUAUAAGUCUCCUGGAAUGGAGCGUCAUAGAGGGUGAGAAUCCCGUCUUUGACACGGACUACCAGUGCAUUGUGAUGCGCUCUCGACGAGUCGAGUUGUUUGGGAAUGCAGCUCAAAAUGGGUGGUAAAUGCCAUCUAAAGCUAAAUAUUGGCGAGAGACCGAUAGCGAACAAGUACCGUGAGGGAAAGAUGAAAAGAACUUUGGAAAGAGAGUUAAACAGUACGUGAAAUUGUCGAAAGGGAAACGGUUGCAGUCAGUCGCGUCCGCCGGGGAUCAACCUUGCUUUUGCUUGGCGUAUUUCCCGGUGGAUGGGUCAGCAUCAGUUUUGACCGCAGUUGAAAGGCUGGAGGAAUGUGGCACCUUCGGGUGUGUUAUAGCCUCCUGUCAUAUGCUGCGGUUGGGACUGAGGAACUCAGCACGCCGCAAGGCCGGGAUUCGUCCACGUUCGUGCUUAGGAUGCUGGCAUAAU